ACAUACUAUACUGGCAGACUAUAUACUAUACUGGCAGACUACAGGCUACAUACUAUAUUGGCAGACUAUAUACUAUACUGGCAGACUACAGGCUACAUAGUAUAUUGGCAGACUACAGACGACAUACUGUACUGGCAGACUACAUACUAUACUGGCGGACUACAUACUAUACAGUAUAUUGGCAGACUACAGACGACAUACUAUACUGGCAGACUACAUACUAUAUUGGCAGACUACAGACGACAUACAAUACUGGCAGACUACAGACGACAUACUAUACUGGCAGACUACAGACGACGUACUAUACUGGCAGACUACAG
This 320-nucleotide long non-coding RNA is filed under the name Salmo salar (Atlantic salmon). Its description in RNAcentral is "lncRNA (ENSSSAG00000091261.1)". The record is from RNAcentral. Lineage: Eukaryota; Metazoa; Chordata; Actinopteri; Salmoniformes; Salmonidae.